Leptopilina boulardi is the source of this 3338-nucleotide RNA transcript. RefSeq lists it as uncharacterized. The record is from RefSeq and is a predicted model, not a curated record. The transcript has 6 exons. NCBI's taxonomy places the organism in Eukaryota, Metazoa, Arthropoda, Insecta, Hymenoptera, Figitidae.
AGGUUAUGUGUCGUGAAAACUUUGUCGACUAUCAGCAGUGUUAAGAAAUUGUUAAAUAAUAACGAAAAUUGUGUUUUAUGUGGUGGAAUAAUAGUAUUUUGAGCAAAAAUAAAGUUGCUCAUGAAUCACUCAUCCCCCAAUGAAAAGGAGCAGCCAGCAUAAUUAAAUGUAGCUGUGACGUGAAACAAAAAUUUUCUGUUUUUUUUUUUUUUUUUUCACUGGUAAAAUUUUUAUUUACUUUCAAACUUAUUAAUUAGAAAAUUUUUAAAGCUUGUGGUCGAAGAAGAAACAAAUCGAACGUCAUGGGCAAAUUCCUUUUUGCAAAUUCAGAAGGAAGUCGAGCACUUUUACCAAAAAUGAGUUCAUGAGGGGUGUAUCCAGUGCCUUCAUGUCUGGAUGUAUUGUACGAGAAAAUCGCGUAAGGUAACGGACCAACGAUGUCCAUUUCAAUUUUCUCGAAUGCUUCGGAUGGAGUAUCUGUAAUGGACAUAGGUUGUCGGGUUUUUACUCGGACAAGCUUGUUUAAUUUACAAGCUUCACAAUUUCUAACGAAAUCUCGGAUAGAAUUUCGCAUAUUGGGCCAAUAAAAAUUUUCUUUUAUUCUUUCCAAGGUUUUUAUUGCGCCUUUGUGGCCACCUGAAGUAGAAGAAUGAUAUUCGCUAAUAAUACCGGAUUCCACAGUAGGCCAUGAUACACGAUUCAAUCCGUUACCAACACGAGAAAUGCUGACUGAAUUUAUUUUCAAUUCAUCCAUACUGAAUUUCAAUCCUAGAAGAGAUGAGGAUAUAUCUGAAAAUUCAAUUUUGGAAUCGAAUGUUGGCUUCACAACUAAAUUGAAAAUAAAGGAAUUUUCAUGUUUGAAUGCGAUUGCGUUACCAACUUCCAUCAAGUUUUCGUCAGCUUUUAGUGUGUUGCAUGGGAGGAUCUCACUAUGAGUUUGGGCAUCUGGUCCCAGUUACGUAGGUGCAGUAAGGAAGAAGCAGAAGAAGGUGCAGACGUAGGUUACAUACAUCAGGUAGGUAGCUCUCACACACUUCUGGCUCUUCUUCUCUUUUUUGUAUUCUUCUUCUUCUUCUCCUUCUUCACAUCCCUCGUCACCAACAUUGGACCCGAGAAGAGGUUCCACAGGCCCCGUGUCGUCGCGGGCAUUCCUGGAGCUGAUUUUAUUUGUAGGAUGUCAACUAGUUAGACAGAGAGGAUGAGGAAAAAGAAAGAGUGAAAAGAAUGUUAGAAAGAGGGACAGAAUGUUAGGUUGGUAACGUGGCCAUGAUGGCAUCGGCAUAAAAGAGGAUGAGGAUGGGACCCGAAGUGGACAGGACCAAACGGCAAUUAAUUCCUUUUUAGAUUUAUUGUGUCUAACGUCGAUGAGACCACCGGAUCCUAUUACCCAACCAAUGAUUUUCAGCCUCUGCUACCUCGAGACGCGAGUCGUGCCAAUCACUUGAAAUGCUUUAGGAGACCCGGACCCAUAAUCGUACCCAACAACUUGGUGGUCUAAUUAUUCAACUUGCAAGAGUCCUUGCCUUCCACUUAUUUAACCCAGUUCUCCUGCAACUAACGAAGAGGAAAAUUAAUUCUGUAAAUUAUUUUAAUUCAAGAAACUUAACAGUUUCUACUUUCCUAUGUUCAGCAACUCGAUAAAACAGGACUGUUGCUCUCUCAGUGCAAAACUUUUUUUCAGAAUAACCUACGGACGUUCGGUUCACUAACCUCAUCAGUCUUUUAAAUACAAGUGAUAGAAGGGCUUUUAAAAAUUAAACGGAUUCGCUUGAAUCAUCUUUAAAUAACAAAGUCAUUUAUAGAAAAUAUUACUAUUUAUUUUUUAGUUUUUUAAGGAAUUUUUAUUAUAAUAAUUUACUUGUAAUAUAUGAGGUAUAAUAUAAUUUAUGUAGUGACUAAUAGCAUCAAAUUGCAACGUAUCCAGAUAACAUGAGUUACAUCAUUAUAUGAGACAUUUUCUAAGAAAAAUGUUACACUAAAUUUAUUUGAUUGACUGAAUACUUUGGUAAAUUAUUGUUCUAAUAAAAGAAAUAACAAAUCUGACAAAUAUUUGUACAUUUAAAAAAAAAUUAUAGUAAGUAGUAGAGGUUAAUAUUUAAUUUAUAAAUAUGUAUUUUAAAUAGAUUUUUCAGGGUUAAUUUUGAAAAAAAAAUUUCUGACAUUGAGAACUACUUGAAAAAUCCUUCAAAAGGCUUUAUUUACAAAUUAAAAUUCAUAAAAUUUUAUCAAAACUAUAUAUGGAUCUGAAAAUAACAGUGCUACUUAGUAUGUCAAAAUUUCAACCCCUACUACUUUCUUUAAUUUAUAGGGUUCCAAAGUCGUUAGGAACCCUAUUAAAAUCACUUUGAUAGUAUAUAGGGUAAAACCGGGAUAGAUGGCCAUACUUUUUUUAAAUGUCGGUAAGAAUAAAACGGAAGCAGUCUCGGAAGCAAUUUAUGUAUUAAUUUUUAUUGAUAAUUAAAAAGUGAACAUUAUACUUUGAAAAAACAAAAAAUUAUUUAUAAAAUUGUAAUGAUAACAAUUUGAAAAUGAAUGUUUCUUAAAAAAAUUCAAUUGGCUAUCUCUCCUGAAAUGUACAGGUUCAUAUUUUAAUAUAUUAGUUUGACAUAUUCUUAGUAACUUUGCAAGUUUUUUGAUACAACUAAUCCGAUACAAAAGAAUAAAUUAGCUUCAAACAUUAAUAAUUAUAAAUUUUUAAUUGAAAGUUUAAACUUGGGUUAAUUGGUUGGAACAAGUUGAUCUUAACAGUAAAAUAUGAUAUAAAAUUUUUGUAAUUGAAAAAAAAUAAUGUGACCUACACUGUUAAAAAUGUUCGUAAAUUUACAACAUUUUUAAUAUACCAAUAUAUAUUAAAUUUAAGAAACUGUACUUUGAAUUAUAUUAAGAUCCCUUUUUGUGGUAAUAUUAAUAUAUUGGUGUCUUAAUCCUGAUGUUUGUAAAUUUAAUAUACUUUUAAUAUACCACGGUAUAUUAACUUUAAAAUACAUGUACUCUAAGUUAAUGUAAUGUACAUCUAUAUAUAGUAAUAUUAAUACAUUAGUGUAUUAAUGCUUUAUUUAUCCUAAAUUUGUACGUGUCUUAUAUGUUUAAAAGAGUAGUUAUUUUAAUGAUUUAUUUUCAACUUUUACGUUUUGCAUUGAAUCAAAAAUUUAUUUGAUUAAAAUAUUUGAUAUCAUUAAAUAUCACAGAAAAAACCUGGUUUCAAAUUAAGUAUAAAUUCCAUACUCAAUUUGAUUCGCAGCAAAAAUGAAACUGGGAUAAUUAUCAAAUUAAAUAUGGAAUUUUAUUCAUACUCAAUUUGAAACUAGGUUUUUUCAGUGAUUAAUCGACUAUUUGAU